Molecule: signal recognition particle RNA, 96 nt
Filed under: bacterium
Lineage: Bacteria
Also listed under: 2 other names
Description: signal recognition particle sRNA small type
Rfam family: Bacterial small signal recognition particle RNA
About the family: The signal recognition particle (SRP) is a universally conserved ribonucleoprotein involved in the co-translational targeting of proteins to membranes. Archaeal SRP consists of a 7S RNA and homologues of the eukaryotic SRP19 and SRP54 proteins.
Source: RNAcentral
UUCAGGCCCCGAAGGUUGCAGGCCCGCCAACUCCGCCAGGACCGAAAGGUAGCAACGGUACGUGGUGUCUUGCCUCGCUUCGUAAGGCCUGGAGCA